CAUGUCCUUUUGAGUAUAAUUUAAGGUCUGACCUGCCCGAUGAGUAGUUCAAUGGCCGCGAUAUUUUGAUCGUGCGAAGGUAGCAUAAUCAUUAGUUCCUUAAUUGGGAGCUGGUAUGAAUGGUUGGACGAGGGAGAAACUGUCUCAGGUUAAAUUAAUUAGAAUUUUAUUUUUAAGUAAAAAAGCUUAAAUGUUGUUUAAAGACGAGAAGACCCUAUAGAGUUUUAUAUUUUUUUAUAUAUUUGAAUAGAGGAAUUUAAUUUCUUUUGUUUAUUUAAGUAUUUGGUUGGGGCGACAGGAAAAUUAGAUAAACUUUUUCUUAUUGAUAAUAUUGAUUAAUAGAUUUUUGAUCCGUUUUUUACGAUUAUAAGAUUAAAUUACCUUAGGGAUAACAGCGUAAUCUUUCUAAAGAGUUCUUAUCGAAAGAGAGGAUUGCGACCUCGAUGUUGGAUUAAAGUUAAUUUUUGGUGCAGAAGCUGAAAUAUUAAGUCUGUUCGACUUUUAAAACUUUACAUGAUCUGAGU
Molecule: ribosomal RNA, 524 nt
Filed under: Julodis pubescens
Lineage: Eukaryota; Metazoa; Arthropoda; Insecta; Coleoptera; Buprestidae
Description: partial 16S ribosomal RNA
Rfam family: Bacterial large subunit ribosomal RNA
Source: RNAcentral